Molecule: unclassified non-coding RNA, 6560 nt
Filed under: Hevea brasiliensis (rubber tree)
Lineage: Eukaryota; Viridiplantae; Streptophyta; Magnoliopsida; Malpighiales; Euphorbiaceae
Source: RNAcentral
CUAUACUCCAGUUUAGACCGAUUCAUGAAUUAGAAUCAUUGACCUGGUGGUCCCAGUCUAAUUCAUGGAUCAAAUCAACAAGCGGCUAGGUCUACAUUAGGUGCUCACUUAUUGUCUCGGCAAAAAUAAUAAAUUGUCUUAAAACUCGAAACCUCCAACCUUAACUCUAACCAAUGAACCAAAGCUCUUCGGCUCUCCACGUUCAUAGCUCUUAAAACAUGCACAAAUGAGCAGGGCCCAUCACAGCACGAGAAAAAUAUGAGGUAAAUAAUUAUUCAUUUCCCGCAUGAUGACAAUAAUUAAGGUCACUACCAGAUACACAUUCCCUCUUUCCUUGGUGGGCAUACAACAGAUACGUUUGUUGAGAAGAAAAAGCCACCCCCUUUCAACCGCAAAAGGAACGGCUGGAGGAAAAUGCCACAACCAAGAAAUUUUAGGGUACAAAAAAUUUCAGUCAUGUAUGCCUAAAUGAUUAUUCACUCUUUCUAAAACUUCCUGCAAUACACCAAUGUCCACUAAAGUAUUUCAAACCAAACCUUCGGUUUGUAACAGUCCAGGAUAAACCAGAGAUAUUAUCUCUUUUAAGGAUUUUACUGAUGCCUUCAAGAAAAUUUGCCCCUCCAUUGCUUUUAACAGCAAUUUGACCUCCUUUGAGAAAUCCUCUACACGCCCUAAUAUUGGUCUUAUUCCACAAAUGUGCAAAACACAUAACUCUAAAUAUAGUGCCAUCUCCAUUAUUUGAAGCAUUAAGAGACAGACUGACUGGAUUUCUGGAUGAACUUGCUUCAUUUUGUUUGCAUUACACAGUUCAGAAACAACUGAAAUUGCUUGAUCCUGCAAGCCAUGUAAUAUCUCAGGCAUUGGAAGCUCAGGAAUAUGAGCAAGAUCAAUAAAUCCCACUUCCUCUGACCUUCUAAGAGCACCUUUUGCUUCAAAACAAAGAAAUUUCAACAGAAGAAAUGCAAUUCUAUAUAUCUGCAAGGCAACUAUGUCUGAGAAAUAUGUUGGAGAAACAGUAUUUGCAGUUUCAGUUGAUUGGCCCUGGAUUACAAGUGCAUUACUUGUGGCUGAGACAGUGGAAAGUUUGGGCUUUGAAGCACAACAAAUAGGUGAAAGCGCAAACCAUCCAUUCCUUAUAUUUAAAAAGGUUGGCUUCUUGCAGCAAUCAAAUUCCUCUUUGAAGAUAGGAGGACAGAAGAGAGGCGCAGUUCUUCCGGGAGAUUCUCCAGGACGAUGAAUUCCUCGGCUAAUAAAGGCCAACAGAUGGACACUUUUCUCUCGCAACUGCGAAUCCAUUUCUUUCAUGCCCUUAACCCACAAAUUCCAAUGAUUUGCCAGAGUGCACAUCAACAGAAGAGUAUGUUCUGUUUCCUUAAGAGCAUUCAGAGAAGUUUGUGUCCUUUGUGCCCGCAGUCUUUUCUUAUCAUGAUUAUCAGAUGGGAAGUCAGGUGCAUCAAGAUAAUAAGAAAUCAAAUGAGCUUUCUCUGAAAACAAGUAAGGUAUUACAUUGUCCAUUAGAUCAGUAUAAUAAGAGUCUCCCAAAGAAUUAAUCAUAGCUGUAACCACAGCCAAGCCAAAACCCCAAAUCUGUUGCGGCUUUUCUUCUUUCUCAGAUGACUUUGCAAAGCUAUUGUUGUUAAUAAUCGUUGUGAAAGGCCUACUAUCCAAUAAGUUGUCAAACAAGGCCCUAAGAGACAAGAAAAAACCAGCAUUAAGAAGCAUUUCAGCACCUCCUCUCACUUGUGCCAAAGUCAAAAGGAACUUCAAUGCUAUUGCGAUCGAUGCAAAAGAAUCAUCUUGAAGCUUUAGAAUAACAUGCUGCAAUUGUAGAUGUGUCCGUAUGAUAGGGAACCAAGUCUUAGGUGUCAAAAAACUUCUUAGUAUUAAGUCAAUGGUAGUCAAGGUGAGGCCACUAUGUUCAGCAAUAGUAAUGCAAUUGCAUAAAAUAGGCAAUAGUCCUAGGCAAACAUUGGAAAUCUCUGCAAAGCCUUCAGAUUCCUUGUCUGGAGUUUUAUUGGACUCCACUGCAAAGAGAAGCAGCAUAAGCAAGACCUUCAAUGUUUUGUUAACCCCACUAACGGAUGACCGGAGGCCACUCAGCAUUUUGACUCCAGAACCUGAGGUUUUCAAAACAAGUACACAAGCAGAUAAAGACAAGUUGCCUUGGGCUGAUCUUACAAGAUGGAGAAGUAAUUCUGCUUGUGCUGAAAGGAAAUCAAGAAUCUCUUCAGAGGCAUCAAGAACUGGAGCCAAUGAUUCCACUGUGACGUGAAAAUGUUGGCAUAUGUGAUCAAUGCAUGAGAAGCAGAGUUGACGAGGGAGCUUUCCUCCAAUUACAGUCUUUUUCUCUGGCGAAUUAUCGUCAUACAAAGUCAAGACAGUUAUCAAGGCCUUCAGUGUGGAAAGUUUUGAACUAGAAAGUAAAAUCAUUGAAUUCACUUGCUGCAUGCAAUCCAACAUUGUUUCUGCAAUUGCUUUACAUUCUUUCCACUCUGUAUGAUCCCACAUAUGUAGUCCCAAAUCUGUUCGUAUAUGAUUGAUAUCAUACAAGCAGAUGCUUUUGGCAUGUGCAAAACAUUCAUCAUUGUACUUUUGUUGGUAUGUCUGCAAACAUUUUGAUUCAACUAGACACAUAGAGAGUUCUUUAAAUGGCCCGGGACCAAUUUUACGGCCUCGGAGCUCCCCUUGUAGAUGAUAAUAAAGAUCACUGAGGAUCAGACUUUUUAGUUCCUUUCCCUCACUGUAACCCCGUUGAGAGUAUUGAGCCAACAGUUCAGAAAGGGCAGGCUGACAGUUCAAAUUUUCAAAAGUGACACGGAUCUUCUUCAGUAAUGAUACAGAUAUGCUUCCAGUAUUGCCAGAUUCCAACUUCCCCAUCACAUGGACAAUGAACAUACUGGAAGCAACCUUUGCACGAUAACAAAUUUCAUCAUCAUAUUCACAGCAAGAAUACGACUUCAUUAGGUUCCCCAAAAAGGACUUGUCACACCAAUUUGACAAGAUAUUCUCCAAAUCAAAAUCACUCCCAGAUUGCAACUUUUCUGUGCUCACUCUAUGUUCUGUUUUGUCCUUAGAAUGAGGAGCAUCUUUUAGAAGUGAGUUAGCAUGCAACAACUUCUUCCUCAGAAACAUCUCAUAUGCCAUUAUUUCCAAUACAGCAGAUUGACAGCAAUAUUUGUACACCAAGCUUUGAGCUUCCAUUUCGGUCAAAUUUUCAAGCACAAAAGUUUUCGAGCUAGUAACCACUGAAACACAGUUGCAGAGUUGCUUCCAAAACAUUCUAGAGCUUUUGAGAUGCUCCAAAAUAUUAAUAUACUGAACAGCCCCUUCCCACAAUGCCUUUAAGAAAUCUAGUACACCAAGCAGUACACGGGGAUUGCUGUUAAUAAAGUCACCAGCACUGUCUACAUAUUGCAUAAGUGCAUCAAGCAGACUUGAUUUCUGGGACCCCGGUGGACCAUUGGAAAUUUCACUCAAUUGUUGCUUCAUGCCACCAGUGUUACUUGAUUGGACUUCAGUAUCCACUUUCGGAGCUAAAAUCGCAAGAAGAAAAGAAGGCUGAUGGCGAGCUGCAGAAUUAAGCAGACUGACCAUAGCAACAAACAGAUCUCCGUUCCACUCCAUCUGCUCAAAUAAUGCACUUUUCACAGAAUGUCUUAAAUCUGCAAUCUGCUCGUCAUCCAGACCAAAACACACGUUGCUAGCCAAAUAUGGCUGCAAAUUAUCUGCCAUAACCAACAAUUUAGAUAAUACCUUAGUAGCCCCAACCUGUAUUGCAGGAUUGAGUGAAUAUGAUAUCAAGGAUAUAACAGCUGCAAUAACAGGAAUCGGUUUGGCUGAAGAUGACAGCACCGCUUGGUAAAAGACAGGAAGACUGGGUGAGAUAUCCUCAGAAAAUUUGGAGAUCAUGAUAUACAGAAUGUCCAAAGCAGAACUGAUAGCAAGCUGAAAUCCUUCUAUUUCCACCGGUUCAACAAGACGGCUGACAUUAAGCUUCUCUAAGGUUCGUUUAGUUGUGCAAACAAGCCGAAAGAUUACACUGUGGAUAGAAGAAUCGGAGAAUAACAUAUCAUGGAUAGCAACACCCAAUUUCUCAGAAAAUGAGAUUGAUAACACGCAUUUUUUCAGCACUUCCAAAACCUUCAAUGUUACUUUCCAUCUAACGUUCUUCAGCUUGUAUUUCCAGUACUCAUGAUUAAUUAGAAUAUACUGCAGAGAAAAAACAACUAAAGCGAGAACAAGUUCAUUUUCUAUUCCCGUCUCUACCAGCUGCAUGGUAAACUCCAGCACUGAUAUUGUUAAUGGCUUCUCAUAAUCAUUCAGCUCAGAGUCUAUCAAAAGCAUCUUUGCUAGUUUUCCAGAAAGAAACCACGAUCCACUUGAUAAUCCAUCAUUUCCAACAUCGAACAUGCUUGUCUUCAAAGUCAUCUCAAAUAUAUUUGUUUUCAGAGCAACAGCAGCAACAUGAGAUGGCGCACAUUUCAACAUCAUUGCCAAAAUACUGACACCCAUAGACAUCAUUGCAGCACCACCAGAACUAGGAUACAACUUUUUUAUCACUGCACAAAUAACCUCAACCACCCACAAACUCCUCUCGAUCUGCCAAUUCACUCCAACUUCUUGAAAGUAAAAUGAGUUGCCAAUGUCCAUCAAAGAAAAAGUUACAGCCAUGUUAAAAGACACCAUUCGACUAAGAAGGUCAAGAGUGAGAAAAACUUCCUCGUUGCUCUCCAUAUACUGCUCCCGAGCCAAACGCAGAAGCAGGAUGAGCAGCCCAGAUUGCGUAAACUCCCAACGUACAAGAGCAGUAUUCCCACCAAUAAGUUUCAAGACAUGACCACGAGUUUUACUUGGUAUUAGCAAACCUUCCACCCCAGGAACGUGCAAUGGAUGGUGAGUUUCAACAAUCUGUAAGAUGUUGUCUAACCAGGAUUCACUAGUAAUUUCAAACAGGGAUGAUAUGCCAACAGACUUAUCAAGAAAGUUAUACACGCAUUCGGUGGGCCAACUUCCUUCACUAAGGGAUGAUAAAAGGCGACUAAGUUCUGCAGUCCUGAAGGGAAAUUCACCCUCUAAGUUGCAGAGAAGACACCGAAUAGGGCCAUCAAUGAAACUUUCCUUGUCCCAAAACUGACUACAAAGUGAUUCCUCUCCUCGAUAGAUCUUGCAAAGAAUAUCUAAUAUGAGAUUAAGGGUUCUGUCUUCUAACUGAAGAUUAAUCUCAUAAGAUGCAAUAAAUGCAGAAACAAAAGUUCUCAAGACACUUCGAUAACCAGCAACAGGCCCAUCUGACUCCUUCAUCAAGCUGCUAUCAAGAAUUUCAACAAAAUAACUCAGCGAUUCACUUUCAAAUGCUUGACGAAGAUAACCAACAUGAUCAAUUUCCAUUAGCACUUUAUUUUCUUCUUUUCCAGGAAGUGAUGAAAUUAGACAGAGACAUACAGCCCAUGUAAGUAUUAGCGGGCCUGCUUCUUUAACUUCAAAAGCACUAAAACUAGAUAGCAAUGCAUCCAUCUGUUGAAUAUCAGUCAAUGAAAAUAUGGAAGCACCUGACCUGAAAGGAAUUUCAUCAUGGACCAAUUGAAGAAGAUUUUCCAGGUCCAACGUUUCCAUUAGGAUGAGUAGUAAUAGGACUUUGGCAUGAUAAGAAGACUUUAGUGCUUCAGUUGAUAUUGCCAGCUUUUCAAAAUUAUACAAGCCAAAUAAGAUCCCCUUGUAAAGUGAGCAUAGGUUUUUCCAUGUAUCACCGUUACAAGUACAAAGUGACUCAUAGUAAAUGAGGAAGAGAAUGUCUAAAACCAAAUUGUCCUCGAUCAGUGUCUCCUCAGCCCACAAAGUGAAAAGAUCUACAUCCAUCUCCUUAGGAUGACUAGAGGAUAAAAGGUCCCGCAGAACAGAGAUUAAUUUGUGUUCCAGUCCAUCAGAAAUCAGCUUUGUCACCUCAUCCCUAACAACAUUUUCUCCUUUUGAGCUAAUUCCAACAUAUAAAGCAUGCAUGAGAAUCUGCCUGGUACACUUCAGCAAGCACUGUCGCUCAAUGUAGUAGUGGAGCAAUAUCACAUGGAGAUAUUCUUCAGCUAUGGAAUCAAUAGCUAAGCCAUUGCUUUCAUGAGAUCUUUCCACAAGAAUAUACGAUUGCACCUCAUCUAAACACAAAUAGGAACUAAUUUGCAAAGCCUUAUUUUUCAAUUCAGGCUUGAUCGUCAAUUCAUGACUGCCGAUUUUCACUUGCUGUGAAUUCAAAACCUCUCUUGAUUUCGCAUUUGGAGGCCUGAAGAGCGAUACUGUAUCCACGAACCACGCAUGAUUCUCCUUCAACUUCUUCGCUAUGGAUGGAGGGAGGUCAGAAGAGAGAGGAGCGUUUUCGAGGUCAGUGAGAAGGGAAGUGAAAGGAUCCCACCAGAGGAAGGAAUCUACAGACUUAGGGUUCGACAUUGGAAGAAGAGAAGGGGUUAAGAGCUUCAGAGAAAUGAAAUUGAAACCCUAGAAGAAAAAGUAGGAGCAGCAGAAUAAGCAGCAGUAGUAGCAGCAGAAAAGAGAGAUACAACUAAGGUAGACCU